Entelurus aequoreus (snake pipefish) is the source of this 1017-nucleotide long non-coding RNA. RefSeq lists it as uncharacterized. Lineage: Eukaryota; Metazoa; Chordata; Actinopteri; Syngnathiformes; Syngnathidae. The transcript is spliced from 3 exons. The record is from RefSeq and is a predicted model, not a curated record.
CUUCCUGUGUUGUGACCUCUGUUUACAAUCCGUCACGUCAAAAAUAUAUCUUUUCGCUGGCUACUAUUAAGAACUUUAGAACUACAACUGUUCGGAUUACCAUAAUCCAAAUAUAAUUAGCAGCAAAGUAGAAAGCCGUCAACGUUGUGGCUCGGAGAGCGAACGCAGGCGACAACAAGUAAGCUCGCUAGACAAUGCUAACUAGCAAGCAUGUUUCGGUGCUUCUGAUCGUCUACCCGUCCUGCAACUCAGUGCGGCGUUUAGGCAAGAGGAACAGCGAGUAUCUGCGGCUUAGAUACAACAGCUGGAACUGUCCAAGCUGCAUGUGUGUGCCACCCGACUAGACUGGACUACAAAACGAGUCGAAGGAAAGAAAGCUCUAUAAAUAAUUGCUUUGUGGCAUAAAUUACACAACAGGCACACAAUCCUUUUUGUGCUUUUAACUUGGCAGACGCACGUCCCCGGUACGAAGGAAGACUACUCACAGCUAUCCGACUGGAAGUCUGGAACAAACUGCUCGUCGUCCGGCACCUGGGCUGUGGACGACACAGAUGGAGGAACGAGGUUAACGCACAAAACAACAAAAAAAAGUUGUCGCUCAGCAGGUUUUCACUACACUCAGGACUUUGCUCCACACAAAACACAACAAGUUAGAAACACUUCACAACCAUGUUAAUGUUCAACCUCAGAGCUCCCAGUCAGCGUUUUAUAGGGCAUCAGCAGCUUUAACAAAUCUAAUUUAAUGCCUUUUUAAUGCCACUUAGAACUGACUGCAGGUAGUUAUUAUAUGUAGUCAAAAUUACAGCUGUAUGUAUACUGUAAGUCAAUAUUUUGAAAAGUUUACAUGAACAGUUACUCUGGUGCGAGGGUGUCAAACUUGUUUUCACAUCUUGGUUAUGACUGCCCUCAGAGGGCCGCUUGUAACAGUCAAUAAUACACACAUAUUAACGUACAAGGAGUCGCCUCAUGAGAUUAUUCCACAAUUGCCCAUGCAUUAGAUUAUUAUUUUUGCACGUA